CUAGCAUGCAUGAACUUCUUGGCAAGAAAAAAAGAAAAAAAAUUCCCUAUUAAUAGGAUAAACUUGGGCAACCAGGUAUAGUAUACUGAGAGCUUACAGUAUUGUUUCUGGAGUAUUGCUGCCCAAAAUGUACAACCUGAACCUAAUAAUAUUUCAGAAAACAGGAGACAAAUAAAUAUGAUGAGAAUUCUAGAAACUGUCCAAAGCUCAUAAAGAGAAGAGCAACUGCACUGGAUCAAAAGAGAUAAGAAAAAUAAAUGUUAAGGUGUGAUAUAAUACUUAUUCAGACAAUAUAUCGGUGUUAAUUUUCCAAAUUUGAAAGCUGUUCUAUGGUUAAAUAAGACUGCAUUUUAGGAAAACAGCCAUUUAGGUCACCACCCACUGAAAUUUACUCUCAAAAAUAUUUAGGAAAAAAAUGUAUUUAUGUGCAUGUGUAUAUAGAAUCAGAAUAAAGUUAAUAUGAGACACAAGAAUCUGGGUAAAAUAUAAAUACACAUAAAAUAUCUUCCUUGCAACUUUCCUAUAAAUAUGAAAUUAGGAAGUUUCAAAUAAUAGGAAAAAAAUUAAAGUUAAUUUACAUUUGGACAUGAUACCAAUAAAAGGAAUUAUGAGAGACUGAGUGAUGGUUGUCUUCACAAAGGGUUUCAGAACGAGGCCCCUGCUGUUUUAAUCUCCACAAACUGCACUUCCUGGGCAAAAGUCACCAUAGUGGACAUCAGAUGUAUUGUUUGUAAAAAUCAGUCAAAUCUACUCUUCACACAAGUUUUCCUAAAAGGUUUGUUGAAAAUGACGACUCGGUUCAGGGGAAAAGAAGAGCAUGAAACACUACUAUACACAGAAGAUCCUCAAAAAUCUAUGGGUUCUUCAUCUAUGAACCCAACCAAUCACAAAUUUUAAAAUGUAUGUCUGCAUUUGACCAUGUUAUGUUCAGUUCAUGUUAUGUCUGUCUCUGUCAUUAAUCUCCAAACAAACA
This is a long non-coding RNA of Perognathus longimembris pacificus (Pacific pocket mouse), 973 nucleotides long. RefSeq lists it as uncharacterized. The transcript is spliced from 4 exons. The record is from RefSeq and is a predicted model, not a curated record. NCBI's taxonomy places the organism in Eukaryota, Metazoa, Chordata, Mammalia, Rodentia, Heteromyidae.